This 499-nucleotide ribosomal RNA is filed under the name Salmonella enterica. Its description in RNAcentral is "partial 23S ribosomal RNA". It matches the Rfam family "Bacterial large subunit ribosomal RNA", at positions 1045 to 1547 of the family's 2925-position model. The record is from RNAcentral. Lineage: Bacteria; Pseudomonadati; Pseudomonadota; Gammaproteobacteria; Enterobacterales; Enterobacteriaceae.
UCCCAAAGUCAUAGUUAAGUGGGAAACGAUGUGGGAAGGCCCAGACAGCCAGGAUGUUGGCUUAGAAGCAGCCAUCAUUUAAAGAAAGCGUAAUAGCUCACUGGUCGAGUCGGCCUGCGCGGAAGAUGUAACGGGGCUAAACUAUGCACCGAAGCUGCGGCAGCGACACUAUGUGUUGUUGGGUAGGGGAGCGUUCUGUAAGCCUGUGAAGGUGUGUCGUGAGGCAUGCUGGAGGUAUCAGAAGUGCGAAUGCUGACAUAAGUAACGAUAAAGCGGGUGAAAAGCCCGCUCGCCGGAAGACCAAGGGUUCCUGUCCAACGUUAAUCGGGGCAGGGUGAGUCGACCCCUAAGGCGAGGCCGAAAGGCGUAGUCGAUGGGAAACGGGUUAAUAUUCCCGUACUUGGUGUUACUGCGAAGGGGGGACGGAGAAGGCUAUGUUGGCCGGGCGACGGUUGUCCCGGUUUAAGCGUGUAGGUGUGUGUUCCAGGUAAAUCCGGUU